RNAcentral lists this ribosomal RNA (247 nucleotides) under uncultured bacterium. RNAcentral describes it as "partial 16S ribosomal RNA". It matches the Rfam family "Bacterial small subunit ribosomal RNA", at positions 86 to 334 of the family's 1533-position model. The record is from RNAcentral.
AGAUGGCGACCGGCGCACGGGUGAGUAACACGUAUCCAACCUGCCGAUAACUCGGGGAUAGCCUUUCGAAAGAAAGAUUAAUACCCGAUGGCAUAAUAGAACCGCAUGGUUUGAUUAUUAAAGAAUUUCGGUUAUCGAUGGGGAUGCGUUCCAUUAGGCAGUUGGUGGGGUAACGGCCCACCAAACCUUCGAUGGAUAGGGGUUCUGAGAAGAAGGUCCCCCACAUUGGAACUGAGACACGGUCCAA